CCUUGCUCUCUUUCCUGGAUAGUUUCCCAGUGGCUGCUUGAAGUGUUCUCCUUGCUCCAGGCCCCCUUGGACAUCCCUUCUGCUUAUUCCCACAGAGACAUUACCCCACUGCCUCCGGACCACAGCGACUUCCUGCAGAUUCUCCUUUGGUUUUGUGAUCUCAUCUCCACCUGGGCUUAGGUCUCCUGGCACGACCUCCGGGCUACGCACAUCUGG
RNAcentral lists this long non-coding RNA (216 nucleotides) under Gallus gallus (chicken). Lineage: Eukaryota; Metazoa; Chordata; Aves; Galliformes; Phasianidae. The record is from RNAcentral.